RNAcentral lists this ribosomal RNA (340 nucleotides) under uncultured bacterium. RNAcentral's name for it is "bacterial SSU rRNA". It matches the Rfam family "Bacterial small subunit ribosomal RNA", at positions 96 to 436 of the family's 1533-position model. The record is from RNAcentral.
UGGCGCACGGGUGAGUAACGCGUGGAUUAUCUACCUAUUGGUACGGGACAACAGUUGGAAACGACUGCUAAUACCGUAUAAGCUGGUAACGGGAAAGGGGGCCUCUUCUUGAGAGCUCUCGCCAGUAGAUGAGUCCGCGUUUCAUUAGCUAGACGGUGGGGUAACGGCCUACCGUGGCAACGAUGAAUAGCAGGCCUGAGAGGGUGGCCUGCCACACUGGGACUGGAACACGGCCCAGACUCCUACGGGAGGCAGCAGUGGGGAAUAUUGCGCAAUGGACGAAAGUCUGACGCAGCGACGCCGCGUGGAGGAUGAAGGUUUUCGGAUCGUAAACUCCUGU